CUACGGGGGGCUGCAGUAAGGAAUAUUGCACAAUGGGCGCAAGCCUGAUGCAGCCAUGCCGCGUGUAUGAAGAAGGCCUUCGGGUUGUAAAGUACUUUCAGCGGGGAGGAAGGGAGUAAAGUUAAUACCUUUGCUCAUUGACGUUACCCGCAGAAGAAGCACCGGCUAACUCCGUGCCAGCAGCCGCGGUAAUACGGGGGGUGCAAGCGUUAAUCGGAAUUACUGGGCGUAAAGCGCACGCAGGCGGUUUGUUAAGUCAGAUGUGAAAUCCCCGGGCUCAACCUGGGAACUGCAUCUGAUACUGGCAAGCUUGAGUCUCGUAGAGGGGGGUAGAAUUCCAGGUGUAGCGGUGAAAUGCGUAGAGAUCUGGAGGAAUACCGGUGGCGAAGGCAGCCCCCUGGACGAAGACUGACGCUCAGGUGCGAAAGCGUGGGGAGCAAACAGGAUUAGAUACCCCAGUAGUC
RNAcentral lists this ribosomal RNA (464 nucleotides) under uncultured bacterium. Its description in RNAcentral is "partial 16S ribosomal RNA". It matches the Rfam family "Bacterial small subunit ribosomal RNA", at positions 339 to 795 of the family's 1533-position model. The record is from RNAcentral.